ACACUUAUUUUAGACCAAAAUAAAAAGGCCAAAAGAUCACUUAUUAUGCUCCGAGGGAGUACGUAUUGAAAUAGAUAGUGUAGCUUACAGUUGGAAUGGCAGUUGCAACUGAUGCAACAACUGCUGCUUUUGCUCCUGCAACUACUCCUUCUGUAUAUACAAACAUGAUAUUUAAAACAUUCAUUAGAUGAUCAAAUUAAUGGAAAAUUCAAGGUGGUACAAGCAAAGAAAGACAAAGUACCAUGAGAGCAACGCUUAGCCAUGGCUAGUUUUUGGUCCACUGAAGCUAAACUCACAUUCUUUGCCAUUUUAGUUUGUAUUUG
Molecule: long non-coding RNA, 323 nt
Filed under: Nicotiana tabacum (common tobacco)
Lineage: Eukaryota; Viridiplantae; Streptophyta; Magnoliopsida; Solanales; Solanaceae
Description: long non-coding RNA (NTAB_LNC002647)
Source: RNAcentral